AGUGAAAACGAGUAGGACGGGACACGUGUUAUCCUGUCUGAAUAUGGGGGGACCAUCCUCCAAGGCUAAAUACUCCUGACUGACCGAUAGUGAACCAGUACCGUGAGGGAAAGGCGAAAAGAACCCCUGUGAGGGGAGUGAAAUAGAACCUGAAACCGUGUACGUACAAGCAGUAGGAGCAGGCUUGUCCUGUGACUGCGUACCUUUUGUAUAAUGGGUCAGCGACUUAAUUUUAGUAGCAAGGUUAACCGUUUAGGGGAGCCGUAGGGAAACCGAGUCUUAACUGGGCGUUCAGUUGCUAGGAUUAGACCCGAAACCAGGUGAUCUAGCCAUGGGCAGGUUGAAGGUGAGGUAACACUUACUGGAGGACCGAACCGACUAAUGUUGAAAAAUUAGCGGAUGACUUGUGGCUAGGGGUGAAAGGCCAAUCAAACCUGGAGAUAGCUGGUUCUCCCCGAAAGCUAUUUAGGUAGCGCCUCGGACGAAUACUACUGGGGGUAGAGCACUGUUAAGGCUAGGGGGUCAUCCCGACUUACCAACCCUUUGCAAACUCCGAAUACCAGUAAGUACUAUCCGGGAGACACACGGCGGGUGCUAACGUCCGUCGUGGAGAGGGAAACAACCCAGACCGCCAGCUAAGGUCCCAAAGUUAUAGCUAAGUGGGAAACGAUGUGGGAAGGCUCAGACAGCCAGGAUGUUGGCUUAGAAGCAGCCAUCAUUUAAAGAAAGCGUAAUAGCUCACUGGUCGAGUCGGCCUGCGCGGAAGAUUUAACGGGGCUAAGCUAUACACCGAAGCUGCGGCAAUGUG
Molecule: ribosomal RNA, 808 nt
Filed under: Photobacterium aphoticum
Lineage: Bacteria; Pseudomonadati; Pseudomonadota; Gammaproteobacteria; Vibrionales; Vibrionaceae
Description: bacterial LSU rRNA
Rfam family: Bacterial large subunit ribosomal RNA
Source: RNAcentral